Molecule: ribosomal RNA, 586 nt
Filed under: Vermamoeba vermiformis
Lineage: Eukaryota; Tubulinea; Echinamoebida; Vermamoebidae
Description: SSU rRNA
Rfam family: Eukaryotic small subunit ribosomal RNA
Source: RNAcentral
UUGUUUGCAGUUAAAAGCUUCGUAGUUGGAUUUCGGAAGGUCCUUAGUAAUCCGCCCCUUCGGGGAGCGGGUUACUGGCCUCCUAUGUUCCUAACGGUCCUCAUCCGCGAGGGUGGGGAAUCAACCGCUAGGAUCGUUUACUUUGAGGAAAUUAGAGUGUUCAAAGCAGGCGUAACUCGCCUCCGAAUACGUUAGCAUGGGAUAAUGGAAUACGACUUCGGUCUUGUUUCGUUGGUUUCGCUUGGCUGAAGUAAUGAUUGAUAGGGACAGUUGGGGGCAUUAGUAUUUAGUUGUCAGAGGUGAAAUUCUAGGAUUUACUAAAGACUGACCAAUGCGAAAGCAUUUGCCAAGGAUGUUUUCAUUAAUCAAGAACGAAAGUAGGGGGAUCGAAGACGAUCAGAUACCGUCGUAGUCUCUACCGUAAACUAUGCCGACCAGGGAUCCGGAGAGUUUGCAUGGAUGACUCCCCGGGCACCUUGUGAGAAAUCAUAAGUGUUUGGGUUUUGGGGGGAGUAUGGUCGCAAGGCUGAAACUUAAAGGAAUUGACGGAAGGGCACCACCAGGAGUGGAACCUGCGGCUUAAUUU